GGAAUCUUAGACAAUGGGCGAAAGCCUGAUCUAGCCAUGCCGCGUGAGUGAUGAAGGCCCUAGGGUCGUAAAGCUCUUUCGCCAGGGAUGAUAAUGACAGUACCUGGUAAAGAAACCCCGGCUAACUCCGUGCCAGCAGCCGCGGUAAUACGGGGGGGGCAAGCGUUGUUCGGAAUUACUGGGCGUAAAGGGCUCGUAGGCGGCCAACUAAGUCGGAUGUGAAAUCCCCAGGCUCAACCUGGGAACUGCAUCCGAUACUGGAUGGCUUGAAUUCGGGAGAGGGAUGCAGAAUUCCAGGUGUAGCGGUGAAAUGCGUAGAUAUCUGGAGGAAUACCGGUGGCGAAGGCGGCAUCCUGGACCGACAUUGACGCUGAGGAGCGAAAGCUAGGGGAGCAAAC
Molecule: ribosomal RNA, 398 nt
Filed under: uncultured bacterium
Lineage: Bacteria
Description: bacterial SSU rRNA
Rfam family: Bacterial small subunit ribosomal RNA
Source: RNAcentral